GGGCCAUUACCAUUGUGACGUCGGCGCCCAUGGGUACUCUCCCUUUUCGAAACGUUUUGAAAGACAAUGCAACCGUCCCAAUGGAAUAUUAUUGAAGCCCUGGUUGAAAAAGCCCCUAAAGAUUUAUGUUAUACAACGUUUGACAUGUUUGAACGAACUUAAAUAUAUAUUUUUUGCUCAUUCCUGACGACAAGUCAGACGCACACGGUACAUUUUUACUAGCCUUUGGAGCGCGCUAACACUAUUGGGACAUAAAUUAUUAACUUUUUUGAACAAAACGACAUUUUUUAUGGACCUGGGAUUCUUAGAAGUGCCUUCUGAUAAAGAUAAUCAAAGGUCACCAGACUGCUCGUUACGGCGCACACCUGUCACCAUCGUUAUGCGCACCUGCAUCAGACUCACCUGGACUCCAUCACUUCCCUGACUACCUGCCCUAUAUAUAUGUCACUCCCUUUGGUUGCUUCCCCAGGCAUUAUUGAUUCUGUUCCUGUGUCAUGUCUGUGCGUUGUUCGUGUUUCUUAGUUUGUAUUACGUUGUGUUUAUUUAUUGAAACACUUCCUGAACUUGCUUCCCGACUCUCAGCGCACAUCGUUACAGUCUGCUUGACAUUUUUAGAUUCGACAUUUUUAGAUUUGAUAAGGAAGCUGAAAGGUCAAAUAUACUGUUUAGGUUUUCUACUGCCAAGUUUACACCUUCACUAUUACAGUGAAACGUUUUGUCCAGGAAGUUGUCAAGAAGGGAUUGAAUUUGUUGUUGCCUGAGUGUUUUUUGGUAGGUUUCUAUACUACUUUCCUUCCAUCUAUAGCCUGUCUUAAUAUUAUUCAGUUCCUUUGGCGUUGAUGCCUCAUGAUUGAGUAUUGCUCUGUUCAAGUAGACUGUGAUUUUGCUGUGGUCUGAUAAGGGUGUCAGUGGACUGACUGUGAACGCUCUGAGAGACUCUGGGUUGAGGUCAGUGAUAAAGUAGUCUACAGUACUACUGCCAAGAGAUGAGCUAUAGGUGUACCUACUGUAGGAGUCUCCUCGAAGCCUACCAUUGACUAUGUACAGACCCAGCUUCAAACAGAGCUGCAGGAGUUGUGACCCGUUUUUGUUUAUUAUGUUGUCAUAGUUGUGUCUAGGGGGGCAUAUGGGGGAGGGAAUGCUGUCACCUCCAGGUAGGUGUUUGUCCCCCUGUGUGCUGAGGGUGUCAGGUUCUUGUCCAGUUCUGGUGUUUAGGUCGCCACAGACUAGUACAUGUCCCUGACUAGUACAUCCCUCUAGGAUGGAGAAGCUGUCUUCAUUAAAAGUAUGGGGAUUCUAGUGGGGGGAUAUAGGUAGGAUGGAGAAGCUGUCAUCGUUAAAGUAUGGGGAUUCUAGUGGAGGGGAUAUAGGUAGCACACAGGAGGACAUUUUUCUCUGUUCUCUCUCAUUUCCUUUUGAAUUUAUAGCCAGAUGUAAAAUGUUCCUGUUUUGACUAAUUUAAUAGAGUGGGUCAGGUCUGCUCUAUACCAAAAUUAGCAUACCCCCUGAGUCUCUUCCCUGUUUCACACCUGGUAGUUUGGCAGAUGGGACUAACAGCUCUCUGUAACCAGUCCAUCUCCUUUAUACCAUGUUUCUUGAAGGAUGACAAUGUCUGUAUUUCCAAUUUCUUUGAUGAAGUCUGGGUUUUUAUUUAUUUCUUUCUUUAUUUUAUUUCACCUUUAUUUAACCAGGUAGACAAGUUGGGAACAAGUUCUCCUUUACAAUUGCGACCUGGCCAAGAUAAAGCAAGCAGUUUGACAUAUACAACAACACAGAGAUACACAUGGAGUAAAACAAACAUACAGUCAAUAAUACAGUAGAAAAAUAAGUCUAUAUACAAAGUGAGCAAAUGAGGUGAGAUAAGGGAGGUAAAGGCAAUAAAUAGGCCAUGGUGGCAAAGUAAAUACAAUAUAGCAAUUAAAACACUGGAAUGGUAGAUUUGCAGUGGAAGAAAUUUGCGGUGGGUGAAAUAG
This 1973-nucleotide long non-coding RNA is filed under the name Salmo salar (Atlantic salmon). RNAcentral describes it as "lncRNA (ENSSSAG00000103864.1)". The record is from RNAcentral. Lineage: Eukaryota; Metazoa; Chordata; Actinopteri; Salmoniformes; Salmonidae.